GGAUUGUGGCUCGGCGGUAGAGCGCUCACCUAGCAUGUGUGAGGCCCUGGGUUCGAUCCUCAGCACCA
RNAcentral lists this transfer RNA (68 nucleotides) under Marmota monax (woodchuck). RNAcentral describes it as "tRNA.Ala". The stretch from base 5 to 65 matches the Rfam family "tRNA", at positions 6 to 65 of the family's 71-position model. Rfam says of the family: Transfer RNA (tRNA) molecules are approximately 80 nucleotides in length. Their secondary structure includes four short double-helical elements and three loops (D, anti-codon, and T loops). Further hydrogen bonds mediate the characteristic L-shaped molecular structure. tRNAs have two regions of fundamental functional importance: the anti-codon, which is responsible for specific mRNA codon recognition, and the 3' end, to which the tRNAs corresponding amino acid is attached (by aminoacyl-tRNA synthetases). tRNAs cope with the degeneracy of the genetic code in two manners: having more than one tRNA (with a specific anti-codon) for a particular amino acid; and 'wobble' base-pairing, i.e. permitting non-standard base-pairing at the 3rd anti-codon position. The record is from RNAcentral. Lineage: Eukaryota; Metazoa; Chordata; Mammalia; Rodentia; Sciuridae.